This is a long non-coding RNA of Musca domestica (house fly), 5390 nucleotides long. RefSeq lists it as uncharacterized. The transcript has 2 exons. The record is from RefSeq and is a predicted model, not a curated record. NCBI's taxonomy places the organism in Eukaryota, Metazoa, Arthropoda, Insecta, Diptera, Muscidae.
UUACCGUAUAUAGGAAGGUACCGUUAUAUCGGAGCUAUACGAAUACCUGGACCUGCAUAGACAAUUUUCUGUUACAGACUGUAGCAUCUUUUACGAACUUCAAAUACGACAUCUCAAGCAAUUUCGGUGAGUAUUGCACCUUAAAUCGUCACAGACUGUAGUUCCCAUUACGAACUUCAAAUACCAAAUUCGGAACAAUUUCGGUGAAUAAUGAUGCUAAAAUCUUCAAAAUAGCGAAUAUUGGGAGUGUAUAAGUUCGAUACGUUCCACCACAACUUUCCAAUACUCGUCAAUCACGGAUGCUGAUUGGCACACUGGCAUCUCCCUUAGCGGAUACCGUAGUGAGCGGAUCGCCGCUGGGUAUUGUUUGUUGGCGAUAGGCUCACCUUGCGCUCAUUGGAAGUAGUUGUAGUUGUAAUAAUAUACAGACAUGGGACCCUCAGCGGUCACUCAGAACCUCUGCGUUCACUUGUCUGUAUUUGCAUAUGUAUUAGAAAUAGACAAGUGAUCCUCUGCGAUCACUUAGAACCUCUGCGUUCACUUGUCUUGUAGAAUCGAAAGCGAAAGCACACGGCCUCUGUCGCCACCCUAAUUACUAAAGGUAAUUGUCGUUGAAAAGAGAGAACACCAAUAAAACUAUGAAAUCAUAUAUUGAAUUACACUAAUUUUAUUUCUGAGUUUUAUUCUUUGUAUAUUUUCUUUCUUAGUUUCUUAUCACCACACACGCGUAUCACCUGCACCUCACCACAUCUCUCACCUACACAUCGCAUACCUCAUUCUCACAUCAUAAAAAACUCUGGGGAGUUUUGUUGUCGCUGCCGCUAAUCGAAGCCAUUCUUCCCCCACUCCCCUGAGUUAAACAUUGGUCGCAUCGAGCCGGAUUGAAGCCAUCCCCUUGUCGUUGCUCCCUGCAUUGCAUGAAGAAAUCACUGGAUUCUCUUUCAUCAGUACAAUUAACUCUAAGAAACAGGUACGUAAAUUCAGAUUACCAUUUGAAGUGAGCUACCCGCGGUUCCUUAGUGAAUAUUUAAAUUUUUUCGGUUUGGUCGAAUCGCAAAUGCUCUCUCGCCUUAUCUGAAGAAGAAUUUGCAUCUCCACAUUUGUUAUUACAACACACAUAAAUAUUUCAUCACAUUCGGUCGUUUGGUUUAUUUUUUUUUUUGCAUUCCUCACCAACCAAACUGUGCUGUAAUUCUAACUCCAAUAUUUCUUUCCCCCCUCUAAAGGCUGAGCCCUGUAAUGAGAAUUUUUUGUUUCUAAUUUACAAAAACAACGCACAUAUAAUAACAGUCCACAUCUCUGUCGGUUGGUUAUUUGUCGUCCUCUCCAACAACACUUGAUUUGUUGCAAUUCUCCUUCGUUUUCUUAACGUUGAUCAAUUCUCACUUGAGAAUUUACAUUGCCAAAAAUUGCAACAACAAUAUAUCAUCAUUCCACGCGCCCUUUUUAGUGUCGGUUUGAUAUUCAGUAAAAAUAACAACAAAGUGUUUUGAUCUCCAACACUCACUCUUGGAUCGUUUGUGGCGUCGCUUGUUGUGUGGGUGCGUAGCUGCUUACGCAUAGUCAUUUCUCUGCCGACGUCGUUUGUGUUUUAUUCCUCUUUGUGCGAUAUCCGUUGUUGGUUCGGCACAGUGGGAUAAAACAGCACAAAUUGUGAAUUUUUUGCAAUUUAUUUUAGAAUUUAUUUUUUGUUAAUUUUGUGAUAUAUUUUUGACUAGUAGUACGGUUUUUGGAAUUUUUGGACAAAUUCACCCUACCUUCGGCAUUCUUUGCAGGCAUAUUUAGUAACAUAUAUUGGUGAAAAUUAAUAGUUUUUUCUUGCUAGAUUUGCAAAAUUUGUAAAUAUAAUUUAACAUUUGGCUGAACAAUUGCAACCUAGUAGGGUUUUUGGAAUUUUUGGACAAAUUCACCCUACAUUAGGAAUUCUUUGUAGAUAUUUUCAGAACAAACAUUAGUCGAUAAUAUUCGUUUGUGGCUAUUUUCUUCAAUUUUUUGGGCAAUUUAUUAGUAGCUGUUGCUACUAUUUGUGAUCCUCUGUAGGGUUUGGGUAUUUUUUGGAAGAAUACACCCUACAUUCGGCAUAAACUUUAAAAAUUUACCAAAUUUAGCAUUAAAUAUUUCGUAGAGUUAGUCGAUUUUGCAAGUCACGUUGUAAAUCUGAAACAUCGUAUUGGUCUUAAGGUUUUUGAAAGUCGUACAUAUAUUUUGUAAAAUAACCUUCAGUUGGAGUCAAGUUUUUCAGUUUUUGAAAUUUGUCAUUUCCGUUCAAUAAUGGCAACCUUUGUCAGAUUUGUCUUUCUUUUGCAUAUAGUUUGUAUUGUUUUUGUUAUAAACAGUAACAAAAUGUCGAUAACGCCAGUUACUCGCUUUGUUAGAGCUUCUAACACUCUUCUCAAAUCUGUUGAAUUCUACGAACAGAAAAAAGAAUCUCAAUUUAGUGUAUGUAAUCUCGAAAUUCGAAUUACGGAAAUUCAAGAAUUGUGGGAUAAGGUCUUGCAUACUUACACUGAGUGCAAAAACUACCUCACGGCAUGGGAGACUGCACAGGUUGAUAAUGGGCGUUGAGGACUAAUAUAAUAAUUCAUUUAUCGCAUACCAUUGGUAUUUGACCACAAGUAAGCGGCAUCUGGCUCGUCUCAAUUCACCCGUCUAUAAGAAUUGUUCUGCUGUAGCUCCUCCUCCUAAUAAUGGUAAUUUUACACCACCUUCAGGCUUGCUUUUGAGCGAACCUAACUUUUCGGUUCCUGUGCAGUCUGCUUCUCCACCCGUUAGUACUUGCUACAAAUCUCCGAUUAAUAUAAGUUCCAAUUCACCCUUCGAAAAUCAUUGUUUCAUAUUGCAACCUAUUGAUAUCGAAGUCUUUGCUUGUGAUUUUGUAUCUUGGCCCACUUUUCGAGACCUAUUUACCACCCUGUUCGUUAGUAAUUCAGGCCAAGGCAAAUUAUAGUUUCCCCUUAGCGUGGAAAGUUUUGUCCGAUGCGUAUGACAAUAAGGGCAUCGUGGUGAAUAGUCACAUAAAAAGUUUGUUUGAUAUUCCACUUUUAAAGUUUGAAACUUGUUCGGGAUUGAAAACUAUCCAACGUGGCAUAAAUAGCUGCUUUGCUGCAAUGGCCGUCUAUGACGUCGCCACGGAUCAGUGGGAUCCAAUUCUUGUACAUAUCUGUUUGCAGCGCUUGCCCUUAACCACCUUGACUUUGUGGGAGCAAAGCAUCAAAAAUAAGUCGUUGUUGCCUUCCUGGCCAGAUUUAGAUGCUUUCCUCUCAGACAGAAUACUAACUUUGCAAUGCAUUCAAAAUUUGCGUAAAAGUCCGUCCACCAAAGUUGUUGUUUCUCCCAAUUCCUCAUUGUCGCCAAAGCAUGUUACUCCUCCCAGACCUGCAAAGAAAUCGUUAUCAAAGUGUGGUUCACCGCAUCGAUCCUUAGCAUCCAAGCAUGCUUGUACAUCUAGUUCCACCAUUAACAAGUUAAAUGAGCCUGUUUCUUCUUCUCGGCCAAACACUUAUUGCUCCAUUUGUCCUAUCGAGAAUCAUGUUCUUCGACUCUGCCCCAAGUUUAUAAAACUUUCGUUUGAGGACAAAUUCUUGAUUGUGAAAAAGAAUAAGUGUUGUAUAAAUUAACUUUCGCGUGUCGCGUUAAACAUUGUCGCAGUACCAAUAGUUGCAAAUCUUGCAAGCAAAGGCAUCACAGCCUUCUUCAUCGGCCACAAUCUACUGUAGUUGUUGCAGCAUCACGCUCAAAACCAUCUCUGGUUUCUAAUAAUUCUAAAAGUCGAAAAUCUUCGCUGUUCUGCAAGUCUGCUCAAAAUCUGGUUUGGAAUUCUAAGAAAUUACCUCCGGCCUUUACCAAAGUCAAAAGUCGAGGUUCAAUGUCCCCUCCGGCUUUUACGAAGGUCAAAAGUCGAGGCCAAAACCCCUCUAAAACGCACCCACCCUCUGCUAAAAAUAGUUCCAGCCAGUCUCCCAACACCACUGAAGAUAAUGUGCUAAUGGGAACUGCACUAGUAAACAUUGUCCAUAAUAGCAAAUCGUACACUGCUCGAGCAAUUGCAGAUCCUUCUUCCAAGGCAUCAAUUGUUAGUAAAAAAACUUAAAAAUAAACUUGGCAUUUUAACUCAAUCUGAGACUACUUGUUCUAAAGCUGUUGCACAAGAGAAGCUUGUUCUCUUCAAUUGUCUUCCCCUAAAAAUUCAUAUAGAAUUGUCAAAACUAAAGCUUUAGUCUUACCUAAAAUCAAGGGGAAGUUGUUCUCGUCACCAUCUUUUUGUGAUUUAAAAACUCGAAUUCCUAAUCUUGAUUUAGCGGAUUCUUUCGAUAAUAGCCCAAUAGAUUUGCUGCUUGACGCUGACCUAUAUCCUAAGAUACUCGAAGCUGAACCACCCCAAAUUGUUUUGGAUUCGUUGCUGGCCCAAAAGUCUAUUUUCGGGUACAUUCUCACCGGUUCAGUACCUCCCGCGACUGUUACAUAAUCUCGCACCAAAAAUUGAAGUCGAACAUUUCUUAAAAUAAUGUAUAUCGCUUAAAAUUUAAAAAUAUUACAUGCACUAAACAUUGAAAUUGUAAAACUAAAUUAAAUCGAUUGUGUCAUAAUUUGAAAAUCUGCAACUGUAGCUCACUUAGGAAUCUGAAUUUACGUUCUCUCCUAACUUAUAACACUUUCUGAUAUAGAUUGCGAGACUCUUAGUUCUAGCAAGGGGGCCGGAAUGUAUAUGUUCGAUACGUUCCACCACAACUUUCCAAUACUCGUCAAUCACGUAUGCUGAUUGGCACACUGGCAUCUCCUCUACAACUCCCUUGGCGGAUACCGUAGUGAGCAGAUCGCCGCUGGGUAUUGUUUGUUGGCGGUAGGCUCACCUUGUGUUCAUUGGAAGUAGUUGUAGUUGUAAUAAUAUACAGACAUGGGACCCUCAGCGGUUACUCAGAACCUCUGCGUUCACUUGUCUGUAUUUGCAUAUGUAUUAGAAAUAGACAAGGGAUCCUCUGCGAUCACUUAGAACCUCUGCGUUCACUUGUCUUGUAGAAACGAAAGCGAAAGCACACGGCCUCUGUCGCCACCCUAAUUACUAAAGUUUCUCAUCACCACACACGCGUAUCACCUGCACCUCACCACAUCUCUCACCUACACAUCGCAUACCUCAUUCUCACAUCAUAAAAAACUCUGGGGAGUUUUGUUGUCGCUGCCGCUAAUCGAAGCCAUUCUUCCCCCACUCCCCUGAGUUAAACAGGGAGGAACCAUUAUAUGGGGCUAUAUGAAGACGAGGACCUGCACAGACAAUUUUCUGUCAUAGGUUGUACUAUCCAUUACGAAAUGACAAAUUUGAAACAAUUCCGGUGAAUAAUGAUGCUACAAUAAAAAAAUACCAAAUAUUGGCAGGUACCCUUAUAUGGGGGCUA